GGACUACCGGGGUAUCUAAUCCUAUUUGCUCCCCAAGCCUUCGUCCCUUAAUGUCAGUUUACAUAUAGAGGAUCGUCUUCACCAUCAUACAUUCUAUUCAUAUCAAAAAAUUUUAUCUCUACAUGAAUAGCCCUGAUAUCAACCUCUCACAUCAAACUCUAGCAAUUUUGUUCCAUUGGAGGAUUAAAAUGCCAUCUAGGUACCCUUUAAACCCAGUGAAGAUGAAUAACACUAUUCUUACUUGUGUUACCGCGGCUGCUGGCAC
This 265-nucleotide ribosomal RNA is filed under the name uncultured bacterium. Its description in RNAcentral is "partial 16S ribosomal RNA". The record is from RNAcentral.